This 500-nucleotide ribosomal RNA is filed under the name uncultured bacterium. RNAcentral's name for it is "bacterial SSU rRNA". It matches the Rfam family "Bacterial small subunit ribosomal RNA", at positions 893 to 1398 of the family's 1533-position model. The record is from RNAcentral.
UGUGAAACUCAAAGGAAUUGACGGGGGCCCGCACAAGCGGUGGAGUAUGUGGUUUAACUCGAAGCAACGCGAAGAACCUUACCAGGCCUUGACAUGGAUAUAAAUGUUCUAGAGAUAGAAAGAUAGCUAUAUAUCACACAGGUGGUGCAUGGUUGUCGUCAGCUCGUGUCGUGAGAUGUUGGGUUAAGUCCCGCAACGAGCGCAACCCUUGUCUUCUGUUACCAGCAUUAGGUUGGGGACUCAGGAGAGACUGCCGGUGACAAACCGGAGGAAGGUGGGGAUGACGUCAAAUCAUCAUGCCCCUUAUGGCCUGGGCUACACACGUACUGCAAUGGCGCCUACAAAGAGCAGCGACACCGCGAGGUGGAGCGAAUCUCAUAAAGGGCGUCUCAGUUCGGAUUGAAGUCUGCAACUCGACUUCAUGAAGUCGGAAUCGCUAGUAAUCGCAGAUCAGCAUGCUGCGGUGAAUACGUUCUCGGGCCUUGUACACACCGCCCGUC